AUGGCCGGUGCAAAAGGAGUGCAGCAGCGCACCAUCUCGGGUGGUUCCCAGUCGCGGCCAUCACAUGACGGCUCCCAGUCGCCAGCUCGGGAGGAGCGGCAAGGGCGCAGCCAGUCCAGGCGCAGCCAUCGCGGUGAGGUCGUAGUUAGGGAGAUCGUGCGCGAGACCGCAAUUAGCGGUAGCGUGCCCAUCACCUUCCCGAUGCUCACGCGCUCGAACUACAGUGAGUGGUCGUUGAUCAUGGAGUGCAACCUUCAUGCGGCGAGCCUCUGGGCUCCCAUGGAGGACGACCUGGUCGAGAGAAAGGAGGACAGGAAAGCCGUGGCGGCCCUCAUGCGCACCAUGCCGCCGGAGAUGCACGGCAUGCUCGCGGCGAAGGCAAGCGCCAAGGAGGCGUGGGAAGCCAUCCGUACCCAGCGCUUCGGCAGCAACCGCGUGCGUGAGGCGAACGCGCAGAAGCUGCGGGCGGGCUUUGAGAACAUCGCCUUCAAGGAGGGCGAGCUCGUCGACGACUUCGCCAUGCGGAUCUCCAGCGUUGUGUCACAACUCCGAGCGCUCGACGACACCAUGGACGAUGCGAGAGUCGUGCGGAAAUUUCUCCGCGUCGUGCCACCUCGCUUUGCUCAGGUAGCGGUCUCCAUCGAGACCUUGCUUGACCUGAGUGAGCUCUCCAUCGAGGAGCUCACAGGCCGGUUGCGGGUGGUGGAGGACGGCCGCGAGAGCUUCAGCGGCGGACAACUCCUAUUCUCGAAGAAGUGGGAGGCGAGGAAGCGUCAAGGACGUGGUGGAGGUGCCUCGAGCAGCGGAGGCGGCACCGGCAGAGGCGGCGGUCGCACACAGGGCGGAGCCGGACGAGGUGCCGGAAACGACGACCGAGACAAGUGUCGAUAUUGCAGCAUCAAGGGCCACUGGGCCCAUGAGUGCCGAAAGAGGAUGGCUAACGAGGAUGCCGCGGCGGCAGCGAACCUCGUCCAGGCUGAAGAGGACGGUGGGCCAGCAAUGAUGAUGGCUUGCGUUGAGACCAUGCAGGAGGGCCCAGCACCUCCGGCGACCAUGGUCCCGACAAGCAUCGAAGCCGUGUAG
Molecule: ribosomal RNA, 1083 nt
Filed under: Triticum aestivum (bread wheat)
Lineage: Eukaryota; Viridiplantae; Streptophyta; Magnoliopsida; Poales; Poaceae
Description: partial small subunit ribosomal RNA
Source: RNAcentral